RNAcentral lists this small nucleolar RNA (107 nucleotides) under Eutrema salsugineum. RNAcentral describes it as "Plant small nucleolar RNA R71". It matches the Rfam family "Plant small nucleolar RNA R71". From Rfam's summary of the family: R71 is a member of the C/D box family of snoRNAs containing the C (UGAUGA) and D (CUGA) box motifs. Multiple nearly identical copies of this snoRNA have been identified in Arabidopsis, and it is thought to function as a 2'-O-ribose methylation guide for 18S ribosomal RNA. Lineage: Eukaryota; Viridiplantae; Streptophyta; Magnoliopsida; Brassicales; Brassicaceae. The record is from Rfam by way of RNAcentral.
AAUCCAUGGUGAGGGCAGACACGUUCAUACUCUUCAAAACGCUCCCAAGCUUCAUAGAAAGGUUCAGUCGGUCCUUGCUGAAAGCUUGAGAUCUUGGUUCUCAGAAA